AGCAUAUCAAUAAGCGGAGGAAAAGAAACCAACAGGGAUUGCCCUAGUAACGGCGAGUGAAGCGGSAACAGCUCAAAUUUGAAAUCUGGCUCUCGGGCCCGAGUUGUAAUUUGUAGAGGAUACUUUUGAUGCGGUGCCUUCCGAGUUCCCUGGAACGGGACGCCAUAGAGGGUGAGAGCCCCGUCUGGUUGGAUGCCAAAUCUCUGUAAAGUUCCUUCGACGAGUCGAGUAGUUUGGGAAUGCUGCUCUAAAUGGGAGGUAUAUGUCUUCUAAAGCUAAAUACCGGCCAGAGACCGAUAGCGCACAAGUAGAGUGAUCGAAAGAUGAAAAGCACUUUGAAAAGAGAGUUAAAAAGUACGUGAAAUUGUUGAAAGGGAAGCGUUUAUGACCAGACUUGGGCUUGGUUAAUCAUCUGGGGUUCUCCCCAGUGCACUUUUCCAGUCCAGGCCAGCAUCAGUUUUCGCCGGGGGAUAAAGACUUCGGGAAUGUGGCUCUCUUCGGGGAGUGUUAUAGCCCGUUGUGUAAUACCCUGGCGGGGACUGAGGUUCGCGCAUCUGCAAGGAUGCUGGCGUAAUGGUCAUCAACGACCCGUCUUGAAACACGGACCAAGGAGUCGUCUUCGUAUGCGAGUGUUCGGGUGUCAAACCCCUACGCGUAAUGAAAGUGAACGCAGGUGAGAGCUUCGGCGCAUCAUCGACCGAUCCUGAUGUUCUCGGAUGGAUUUGAGUAAGAGCAUACGGGGCCGGACCCGAAAGAUGGUGAACGUAGA
RNAcentral lists this ribosomal RNA (769 nucleotides) under uncultured fungus. RNAcentral's name for it is "eukaryotic LSU rRNA". It matches the Rfam family "Eukaryotic large subunit ribosomal RNA", at positions 37 to 836 of the family's 3401-position model. The record is from RNAcentral. Lineage: Eukaryota; Fungi.